Clupea harengus (Atlantic herring) is the source of this 1231-nucleotide long non-coding RNA. NCBI's taxonomy places the organism in Eukaryota, Metazoa, Chordata, Actinopteri, Clupeiformes, Clupeidae. The record is from Ensembl.
GAGAGAGCAUGGUACAUUCUUGAAUACCCACAUGAGAAGAGGAAAAACAUUCGUGAUUCCAAUUUUGACAAUCUGUCUAUAAUAGUCACUGAUUUAAAAAAGUGUAAUUCAUUUAUUCAGAUUUGCUUAGAGGUUUCAAUUGCACAACAAUGAAUACGCGCAUAUUAUAGAUUAUAUGGUGACCAGGUGGCCCGCUUUGCGUUCUACUACACAGCAUUUUGACCCUUUGUCCCGUAUCUCGCAAAGUGAGGAAAUGUCCCGCAUUUUCAUUGGUCAUUUGGUUUUAUUUGUUAGAAAUAAUUACACAAGGAUGCGUUUUUUACCCGCCGUCAUAUGAUUCGCUCAUGUCGUUGCUGCAUACUGCAUUUAUACUCGCUACGUCAAAAGCAGCAACCUGGCUCAUACAAAUGCAACAUAGCCAAGCUUUCCGAAAGCCUGGCUUUAUCCAGUGACAGAGAAAAGAUCAGUGAAGGCGGCCAGCAAGAGUCUGUGACGGCUGUCAAUUAAACUGUGCAGUGUGACCGGUGAACUCCUUUUCUAGGUCACUAAAACCAAACUGAGACAAACUUUGAAGAUAAAGUAAUAACUACCAGGCAGCAUCAUGGUUCAUAAUCUUUCAUAUAGCAAAAUAUGUAGCCUGAUUCUUUCAUGGCCUAGCUGGUGUGCUGUGGAAUCGACUUAAGGCAUAGUACUGUAUCUGUUCUAGGACACACACACUACAGCUGAAACUGACCCCGUCUGCACAGAUGCUCUCCGCAUCAGCUAGCUGGAAGGAGCUGUCAGAUAAUCAUCUGAUGCUCCUGUCUUAGUGGAAACAGAGCUUGAGUCAAGUCCUCUGAUAAACACUCUUGGUUCUCCCAGUGACAAAGGAGAGCCAGAAUAACACGGAGAGGCUCAUGGAAACUCAAUCUUCCAUGAGGACAGAAGAGGCCAUUGAAAGACUCAGCCAGCAGAAGCGUGCCACUGGGUUGCACCAUGUAUGCAGACUGCUGCACACCACAGAAAUCUGAACUUAGCUCCCAAACAGUCUUGGUUUUUCAACCUCAGUUGUACUGGAUCAGAAUCCAGUUGACAUUUUCUGGCAGGUGCAAAAUGACUAACUGCUUAAUAUUAGCAACUGAUGUAUGUUUAGAGGCACGGGAGUAUACAGUUCAUAUUAUAAAUGGUAUGACUAUUACGAGGCACAUUUUCCUGGACUAAUUCAGAAUGUUUGUCAUGAACAUUUUUAUGC